CCUGAUCCAGCCAUCCCGCGUGUGCGAUGAAGGCCUUCGGGUUGUAAAGCACUUUUGGCAGGAAAGAAACGGCUCUGGAUAAUACCUGGGGCAAAUGACGGUACCUGCAGAAUAAGCACCGGCUAACUACGUGCCAGCAGCCGCGGUAAUACGUAGGGUGCAAGCGUUAAUCGGAAUUACUGGGCGUAAAGCGUGCGCAGGCGGUUCGGAAAGAAAGAUGUGAAAUCCCAGAGCUUAACUUUGGAACUGCAUUUUUAACUACCGGGCUAGAGUGUGUCAGAGGGAGGUGGAAUUCCGCGUGUAGCAGUGAAAUGCGUAGAGAUGCGGAGGAACACCGAUGGCGAAGGCAGCCUCCUGGGAUAACACUGACGCUCAUGCACGAAAGCGUGGGGAGCAAACAGGAUUAGAUACCCUGGUAGUCCACGCCCUAAACGAUGUCAACUAGCUGUUGGGGGCUUCGGCCCUUGGUAGCGCAGCUAACGC
This 483-nucleotide ribosomal RNA is filed under the name Bordetella petrii. Its description in RNAcentral is "bacterial SSU rRNA". It matches the Rfam family "Bacterial small subunit ribosomal RNA", at positions 382 to 858 of the family's 1533-position model. Lineage: Bacteria; Pseudomonadati; Pseudomonadota; Betaproteobacteria; Burkholderiales; Alcaligenaceae. The record is from RNAcentral.